This is a long non-coding RNA of Peromyscus leucopus (white-footed mouse), 946 nucleotides long. RefSeq lists it as uncharacterized. The record is from RefSeq and is a predicted model, not a curated record. Lineage: Eukaryota; Metazoa; Chordata; Mammalia; Rodentia; Cricetidae. The transcript is spliced from 3 exons.
GGGACAGUCAGCACAAUCCAUAGACCAGAACUUCACAGCUCCUGCAGGGAAAGGAAAUUCCCUUAUGCCGAGAGGAUGGCCCAGUGGGUAAAGCCCUUGCUGCACGAACCUGGUGACCUCAGUUCGGAUUCUCAGGACACGCAAAGGUCAGACUCGGUAGCACAAGGUGGGGUGCGUUAGUGUUCUCCCGAGUCGAUCAGCAAUUGAUGUGGUUGUCAAGAGGACUAAGCAAAGAAUCUGGCCGUUCCUGACAUGGGGAACAGUUCCCUCUGAUGUUGUGAAGAAUGAAGGGAGGAGGUUCCCGGAGCUUGUGUCGACUUAAAGUCAGACUGCAGCUGUUUACUCAGAGAGAACGUUUGUCAAUGGCAUUUGCAACCGAAUGGGUCAGUUUAGUUUAAUAGUGUACUAGUAAAAGACUUUAAGACCCCCUUUUCGAACAGAGUAGGAGCUGGAGAGGUAGCCCAGCAGUUCAGAGCAUGGACUGCUCUUGCAGAGCUCCUGGCUUAGUUCCCAGCACCCACAGUAAGAGGCUCCCAACUGCCCAAAACUCCAGUUCUGAGGGAUCCAACACCCUCAGGUCUCUGUGGGCGUUUGCACUCAUCUGAUACGUAUAAACUCGGUGAGGUCCAUGCGCACAAAUACAUACAUACAUACAUACACACACACAUACGUACAUACUGUAAAAAAAUGGUAACUUUUCAGAGUUUCACCUCAAUGGUUCAGAUACAGAAAGGGAACCAACCAAGACAAGCCUAUAACCCCAUCCCCAAAGGCAGAACUGACAUACGAAAUACAUGGUGGAUGUGUAUUGUCUGCAACAUCAUGUCACAGAGACAACAUGCUGUGUUUCCAAUUUAAUAAGAACACAAAAUAUUAAAACAUUUCCAUACAAAUGUAUAAAUAACAUAUUUUGCUUGACUGUUCAGUGUUCUGUAGUAUGGGCAUA